UACGUAGGGUGCGAGCGUUAAUCGGAAUUACUGGGCGUAAAGCGUGCGCAGGCGGUUUUGUAAGACAGAGGUGAAAUCCCCGGGCUCAACCUGGGAACUGCCUUUGUGACUGCAAGGCUUGAGUGCGGCAGAGGGGGAUGGAAUUCCUGGUGUAGCAGUGAAAUGCGUAGAUAUCAGGAGGAAUACCGAUGGCGAAGGCAGGUCUCUGGGCUGACACUGACGCUCAUGCACGAAAGCGUGGGGAGCAAACAGG
Molecule: ribosomal RNA, 253 nt
Filed under: uncultured bacterium
Lineage: Bacteria
Description: partial 16S ribosomal RNA
Rfam family: Bacterial small subunit ribosomal RNA
Source: RNAcentral